AGUGCCGCACAAAACGUGGCUUUGCCUCCUCACUGACCGAUUAAACACGGUGCGGCUCCACUUCCCUGGGUUUUAUUUAAACGGCUAGAGGUUUAAUUUCUGCAUGGAACUUCACUCAUCUCAAGCCAUUAAACAAGAUACUGCACCACCAUAAGACUGCAGGCGGGAGGGAACUGGAGGGAAGCACCUCAACAACAGGUCAACACAAGCGCUCCCAGUCUUUCAGCCAAACUGCUGCAUGUUUCGUCUCAGGCUUCCUUCAACUCUGCUCCUCUGUCACGGGUAGAACCACUCUAUCCUCCUGAGGCAAAAAGUAAACAGCCGCCGCACAGUGUCUUCAUGUCGGUGCCUCCUGGAUUGAAGGCACCUGUUUCUCGCUGGUCGCUCGAUGUCCAGAUGCUCCAGAAUAAGAACCAGACCAGGUAUGAGAAAAUGGCUUUAGUGAAGCACCAAAGUCAUAAUUAAACAGCACAAGCGCUUGGCUCACACGGACUGUCGGGUCCAAUAAGAAUCGUCCAAAACUAUUCCUCAGCUUAUUUUAGAGUGGUGUGUUGCCUGUCCUGUUCCAUGUGUCUCACGCUUUCUCAGUAUAUCUGCUAUCUGAUCUUGUUCUGCUGCGGAUCCCACUCUGUAUCCCACAUCUAGUGAACUAUUGCUCACUGCUCGGCUCUCGUCCUCCCCCUCCCUUUCACAGUGUCACUGUAGAUACUUGGCAUUUGGAGACUGUGUGCUCUUCCCCAAGCUAGUGUUGUACCAGCAAUGACUUGGACUGGACUGGUUAGCAAAUAAAUGCUAAUGUUAACGUAACAAAAAUGAUGACAUUCUAACUGGGGAUCUCCUGCUGUUUUAGGUGUUAGAGGUGGGAGCAUUUCUGAUCUCCAGGGAGGAUGGGGACAGUGAAGGCAAUGGUGCCAAACCAGGUUCAGUGUGUGGAAGUUGGAGGCACCUAUAAAAGAUGGGUAAGGUAGAUGGGGGCCAGGUCUAGCAGUAUUUUGAAGUGUAUUUUUAAGACCAGGGGCGAUGUGGUUUACAGACAUCGGGUCCUGGAUUUGCUGCAGGUUGGUAGGAAGGGUUGUGGGCAGAUCUCUGAGGAGGCUGAUCCUGCAAAAGCAUGGUUCAGGUUUACAGCAGCAGAGAAUGGAUGACACGACUGGAUGGAUGCAGUGAUUUCAUCCGUUGAACAAACAUUUACACUACAUGACGCGGUACAGGACAGGGCUGCUUCUGUUUAAAAUAUGCCCAUUCAGCUUUGGAGGAACCCACCAUCAGCCUGCUGUGCCCAGCGCUUUGAAAUUCUGUCCAGAGACAGAAACAGGAUCGUUGGUUCCAACGCUGUCCUGACCCAGAUUCACUAGACGCCAUUAGAGAACAGAGACGGGCGGAAGGUGUGUGUGACACUGCAAUACGAUGGCCUCCAAGGAGCCACGGUUGCCUCGGAGUAUCGCUUUUCUCGGAUAAUACAAAAUACUAUUUGACCUCUGUGAAGGCUGAGCAGGUGCAUCUGUGAACUGGUGUUUCUACAGCAGCCGCUGAUCAGUCAUGAGGACCAGGAGUUUUUUGGGGGCAGCGACUCAGAACAAGCUCAGCAGCUCCUGGCUUAGCUGAGGGUUCUCCAGACAUUUCUGAGUGUGCUAAACCCACAGCGACUUUAGUUUUUACAUCAGGUUACGUGAUGUAAAAAGUGUCAGAAAACAGCAUGUCACAUACAAAAUGUCAUAGUAUAGCAUGUAAUCAAAAUUUGCAACAAAAUAGUCAUUACAAUUACAUGAGUAUAAUCUUGAUAAAAAUUUUGAUGAAAAAGUCUCAAAAUAUUGUUAUCAAAAAAAGCCAGUGACAUCAGAAUUUUGCCAUAGUACAGUAUGAAAAAAGUCCUAUAGUAGCAUGUCAGCAAGAAAAGUUUCAUAAAACAGUAUUAUCUAUAUAAACAGUAGUGAUCAAAAAUUGGUCGUAUGUUGUCAAAAAGGCCUAUAGUAAAGUAAGUAAACAGUCCCACAGUAUAAAUACUAGUCACACACUUGUAUAAAUUGUCAUCAUAUCUCCGUGUUGUCAAAAAAGUCCCAUAGUAUAGUAUGUCAGUAAAAAAUGGUCAUUUUGUUUGUGUUGUCAAAAAAAGUGUUAUAGUCAUUACAUACUAGUAUGUGAUCAAACGAUUAUGUUGUCAAAAAGGCCUGUGUCAUAGUAGUACAUCCAGUGGUAAUACAAAUCAACAGUAUCUUUGAGAUAUUAAAAACUAUUUUCAACAAUUACAUUUUAACAGUUAAAAGUUGUUUGUUGCUCCCUCUAGUGGGAUUGAGUCUCCUUUUAUGUGAAAUCUGAAUAGAUGUUUUUUUUCCCUACGAGAAAGAAGACAUCCACCUUUUAAACAGUAUAGUUGAUUGUGUAACAAAGGUUGGACUUACUGUAAUAAAUCUGUUAAAACAUUGUGCUGAACAAUGACGUGGUCAGUCUCAUCUGUUGCUCAGCAGGACUCAAACAGUUUCAUUCUCUCUUGGAUAGAAAGGCCUUCUUUUAAACUCUGCAGCCAAACAUGCAGAAAGGGGAAAUAAAGAAGAUAUUAAGGGUAAAAGAUCUUAAUGUCUACUUUGUAAGAAUUUGAAAACCCUCAACUUGUUUAUGUAAAUAUACAGUAAACCUGUUGCCAUGUGUUUCUGUAAUGUCUCUCUUACCUUCGAUCUCACUCCUCUGAUCCUACAUAUGAGGGAUGACUUUUCCUUUUUCUUCGGAAAAGCUCCAUUACCUGUGUUAGUCGCUGUGUCCGCUAAAAAAAUAAGUCAUACUUGACAUUAUGGAACUGGGGCGUGUAUUUAACAAGUUCGAUGGGCAGACAAAUAAAAUACAUUUGUGGGUUUAGGAGCUGGAAUUUAAAGUUUAAAAAAAUUCAAAUGCUACUUCAGCUUAUACUUGAUGACUAUGUGUUCAUCUCAGUAAUCAAAAUGUAUGUAUAAUGUAAACAAAUAAAGAUGGUCUCACUGAGCUGUUGCCCUGAAGCCUCUCUACUCGGAGACCAAGUUGCGAACUUCAUCUCUUCACGGGAUCUGUGGACGUCAUGAUGGGACUCCUCCUGGCUGCUCUUAUAAAGAGCCUUCAGCUUGUUCUGGGCGUAGAUUUUAUCCUGGGUAAAUCAUAGAGUUGAUUUUAUUAUAUUAUAGUGUCCAACAGUCAGUUAUCAUCACCGAAGCUGCAGUUUAACCAGUAAUGAUAAUCUCAGGAGGGACAGUACCAUUCGAGCAAUCUUCAACUCAUCCUUGAGAGAACGAGCUUCCUGUAGGAGGAACUGCAUCUCUGCCUCCCUCGCCCGCAGAAUCACCUGCGAGACAAUAAGGAAUGAGCUGUGUAUCAACACGGACAUUUUUAAAACCUGUUAGGAAACUAGACAUGUUGUCCACGCACCCACCUCCAUCUCGUAGAAGUCGUUCAGUUGUGGGGCCACAAGGGACUGAUCCCCGUUCAGGGAGCAGUCAGUUUCAUGUGCAUCGACCUUAAUGACGGCGAGAAGACCCGUUGAAGCAAAAAACGCCGUCACAAACACAACUGCUGCUGUUGCGUGGAGUUCGUACCUGCUUCUGUUUGAGGUCCUGGUUUUCCUGCUGGUACCGCACUAACAGUUCUUUCUCACCCUGCAGCUCCUGGCUCAGCUGGGAGUUCUCCAGACACUUCUGAGUGUGCUGAACCGACAGCGACUCCAGCUCCUUGUGCAAUAACUGGAUCUCCUUUCUGCAGCGGCAAAGCACAAGCGUUCAUCCUGAACAUUCCUGUUUAUCUGCUGGAGUCGUGAUAAUUCCCUCUGUGUCUGCUCGAGCUACAGAAAAAUACAAACACUAAUUUACCUUUUGACUACAUAUAGACAUAGGUGAGACUUUGCAUACGCACCUCUCUAACCAGCUGCCCGGUCUGAUUCUCACAACGCAGUGAGUCCUCUUCUUUCGGACACUCACAGGUGUUGCUGUUCAGUGACACACGCUGCUCCUCACUUUGUGUUGCGUUUUCAUCUUCCACGCCUUUGGAGCCAGAGCUGUCACUUCCACUUCCUUCAGCACUCGAUGCUUCUGUUGGACCUGGAACACAAAAGUUUGUGUGGCUGCAGCAACAGGUGGACACUGAUGACAGGACGCUCGUUCGUCCUCCUCCAUCUGCUGAGGAGGACUGAUGGGAGGCACAGCAGAAGACGCUGAGCUUCCAUCAGCAGAGCUCUGCUCUCCUUCCAGCU
This is a long non-coding RNA of Betta splendens (Siamese fighting fish), 4207 nucleotides long. RefSeq lists it as uncharacterized. The transcript is spliced from 6 exons. NCBI's taxonomy places the organism in Eukaryota, Metazoa, Chordata, Actinopteri, Anabantiformes, Osphronemidae. The record is from RefSeq and is a predicted model, not a curated record.